GAUGAACGCUGGCGGCGUGCUUAACACAUGCAAGUCGAACGGAAAGGCCCAAGCUUGCUUGGGUACUCGAGUGGCGAACGGGUGAGUAACACGUGGGUGAUCUGCCCUGCACUUCGGGAUAAGCCUGGGAAACUGGGUCUAAUACCGGAUAGGACGAUGGUUUGGAUGCCAUUGUGGAAAGUUUUUUCGGUGUGGGAUGAGCUCGCGGCCUAUCAGCUUGUUGGUGGGGUAAUGGCCUACCAAGGCGUCGACGGGUAGCCGGCCUGAGAGGGUGUACGGCCACAUUGGGACUGAGAGACGGCCCAGAGUCCUACGGGAGGCAGCAGUGGGGAAUAUUGCACAAUGGGCGCAAGCCUGAUGCAGCGACGCCGCGUGGGGGAUGACGGCCUUCGGGUUGUAAACUCCUUUCGCUAGGGACGAAGCGUUUUUGUGACGGUACCUGGAGAAGAAGCACCGGCUAACUACGUG
Molecule: ribosomal RNA, 468 nt
Filed under: uncultured bacterium
Lineage: Bacteria
Description: partial 16S ribosomal RNA
Rfam family: Bacterial small subunit ribosomal RNA
Source: RNAcentral